GAUAAACGCUAGCGGCAGGCUUAACACAUGCAAGUCGAGGGGCAGCAUAGAUUGUAGCAAUACAAUUGGUGGCGACCGGCGCACGGGUGCGUAACGCGUAUGCAACCUACCCGUCACAGGGGGAUAAUCCGGAGAAAUCUGGUCUAAUACCCCAUAACAUAUGGAUCGGCAUCGGUUCAUGUUGAAAUUUUCGGGGGUGCCGGAUGGGCAUGCGUAGCAUUAGCUUGUUGGUGAGGUAACGGCUCACCAAGGCGACGAUGCAUAGGGGGACUGAGAGGUUUUCCCCCCACGCUGGUACUGAGACACGGACCAGACUCCUACGGGAGGCAGCAGUGAGGAAUAUUGGUCAAUGGACGCAAGUCUGAACCAGCCAUGCCGCGUGCAGGAAGACGGCUCUAUGAGUUGUAAACUGCUUUUGCAAGAGGAUAAUUGCGGGUACGUGUACCCGCUUGAAGGUACCUUGCGAAUAAGGAUCGGCUAACUCCGUGCCAGCCGCCGCCGUAA
Molecule: ribosomal RNA, 504 nt
Filed under: uncultured bacterium
Lineage: Bacteria
Description: partial 16S ribosomal RNA
Rfam family: Bacterial small subunit ribosomal RNA
Source: RNAcentral